UGAGCCCACAGACAUCAUAAACCUAGGGCACCCAAGACACUCCACUGACAUGUCCACCCACUGCAUCAAAGUGAGGAGUUAGCACAUGGCAAUGAAUGGUCCAGAAGGAAACCUGUGCAGCCAGCCUGUUAUGGAAGGCUAACAGCAAAAAUUAUUUCAUCUUCUCAAGUCAGAAGAUUAGUCAGAAUGCACCUAAGCAACUCAAGUGCUGAAUAAGAAAGUACCUUUUCAAGUACAGCUUUUUAGCAGAGAAUCACUGCAUCAUUUUAUUGCAUUUUCUGUUCACUGAGUCUAAAGUAACAACAGGUAACAGCACCUCUGUGAACCUUUGGGCCCUAAAAUCUCUGAUACUUUUCUGUCUAAAUACGAUAAUGUCUCACUUGCAAGUACUUCAUAAUCUCUAAUGUAGUAACACUACCUAAACUCAUGAAUAAAGAGAAUGCAGUUAUGGAAAUA
Pogoniulus pusillus (Red-fronted tinkerbird) is the source of this 456-nucleotide long non-coding RNA. RefSeq lists it as uncharacterized. Lineage: Eukaryota; Metazoa; Chordata; Aves; Piciformes; Lybiidae. The record is from RefSeq and is a predicted model, not a curated record. The transcript has 3 exons.